UGGACAUCGGUCUCGGCCUCGUAUUUUUGUCACCCUGUUACCUCCUUCGAGCCGCAAUCUCUUAAGUCUCAGCCUGGCAUCCUCUCUUGUAAAAUGGGGCCAGUACCAGCCUCCUCUUAGCGCCACAGUGAGGGACCAAGUGUGGUCGUAAUUACACAACUUCUUUGUAAACUCUAGCACGGUAUACAAAUGUGAGGUGUUCGUAGUAUGUUUCCAGUCCUAACUGUAGAAAUUUGAUCACUUAAGUUACUGGGAAAGUGACACAGAGGCUUGUAGUGGGAUGAGGGUGGAGGAUGGGAUCCGAGCAGUCCACGCGCAUGAGCAACGGAACCCGGGUCUUUAUCGGGGCUGUCAGUGAGAAGAGAUGCUCGUUUCCUGCAGCUGUUACAGGACGACCUCUCUCGGAAUCAAUUGGUAGCAAUCACUCUUAA
RNAcentral lists this long non-coding RNA (431 nucleotides) under Capra hircus (goat). Its description in RNAcentral is "lncRNA (ENSCHIG00000001320.1)". The record is from RNAcentral. Lineage: Eukaryota; Metazoa; Chordata; Mammalia; Artiodactyla; Bovidae.